This 273-nucleotide ribosomal RNA is filed under the name uncultured bacterium. Its description in RNAcentral is "partial 16S ribosomal RNA". It matches the Rfam family "Bacterial small subunit ribosomal RNA", at positions 524 to 796 of the family's 1533-position model. The record is from RNAcentral.
UACGGAGGGUGCGAGCGUUAUCCGGAAUUACUGGGUUUAAAGGGUGCGUAGGCGGCGCAGUAAGUCAGGAGUGAAAGUUUGCGGCUCAACCGUAAAAUUGCUUUUGAUACUGCGGUGCUGGAAUUAGGAUGAGGUCAGCGGAAUGUGGCAUGUAGCGGUGAAAUGCAUAGAUAUGCCAUAGAACACCAAUUGCGAAGGCAGCUGGCUAGACCUGGAUUGACGCUGAGGCACGAAAGCGUGGGGAGCGAACAGGAUUAGAAACCCCCGUAGUCC